Molecule: long non-coding RNA, 6480 nt
Organism: Pangasianodon hypophthalmus (striped catfish)
Lineage: Eukaryota; Metazoa; Chordata; Actinopteri; Siluriformes; Pangasiidae
Exons: 3
Source: RefSeq, a predicted model, not a curated record
AACUCCUAAGGGGCGGAGCUAAGAUGCGAGGCAAGGAAACGAGGAUGCACAAAUAAGAAAUGAGAAGCACCCCCUGUGUUCAUGCCGGUUUAUGAAUGGGAGGGUGCGGCUUGCAGCUGAGCUGCAGGAGAAGGUGGGAUGUAGAGCUUGAGACGGACUUGACUAAAGAAGUCGUUUGAGCAAAUCUACGCUAGGUGUGGAUAAACUAUUUGUGUGGAGAAGGAAGAGUUAACCACUUCUAGAUGCUGUGUGUGUGUUUAGAAGCGCACAGCCUCCGUCUGGGUAACAAACCACAAAAAAGGAUGUUCCGUUUUCAGCUAGGAAUGAUUAGGCCUAAUCUGCCCCCUAGUUGAUAAACCCUUGGUGAAUGCAUUGCAUUGGUGACAAGCAAGUGUAUCAGCGGCUUACCAGGCAACUAAGGGACAUUCCAAAUUGUUGUAUUGGCCUGAGUUCGGCUUCUGGGUCCUCUUGUUCCUGUGAUUAUAACAGGAAGAUCUGGCCAUCAUGGACCUAGCAGAACUAGAUCCCCUGCCUUCAGCCCUGUCCCAUCCCAGUGCCCUCCUUGGUUAGCAUGAGCAGCAGCUCCGGGAACUCGCUGUGAACAACCUCAACGUGGCAGCCUAGAUUGAACUCCUCCAUCACCAAUUCCUGUGUCUUCUGCCUAAUAGCCCAGACCCCUACUAGCCUUCAGUCAGCUCCAGCCCUCCAUAGCGUGAGGCACAUGUCCCUGGUUUCCCGCUCUCCUGACCCCAUUGCCCUCGAGCCCCAAAGCAGCCUUCGAGCUUCACCCAAUGUCUCACUCAGACAGGAGCCCAUGUAGUUAAGCUGAGCCCGGCUCACCCCCGCUGAGCGUGACCAGAAAUUCAAGGCAGGCGUAUUCAUCUAUUGCAGUCAACUGGGCCACUUUCUGGUUACCUGUCCUCUUCGGCUAAAAGGAGGGGCUCACUGAACAUCCACUUCUCCUGCCCCCCUGCCCCGUUUCCAGAUUCCAGGCACUCUGUGCCACAAUUUGCUCUCCGUUCCCCUGCUUGCGCUGAUCGACUUCCUGGACAUGGACAUGGAGCUAGCUUCCCAGUCUGGCCUCCCCAUUGAAACACUGGACCCCUCAUUACUGGUAACACCCUGGAUGGGAGAUUCUUGGUCCGGGUCACCCAUCACACUGCCCUGUUGAUCCUAGUUCUCUCAGGGAACCACUAUGAAUAGGUUCAGCUGAACCUCAUCUCCUCAUCAUGUACCCUAUGUGUGUUGGGCCAUUCAUGGUCGAGAGAGCACAAUCCCUAAAUAGACUGGUCAGCUGGGAGGGUUGCUAACUGGAGCCACUUCUAAUGCCUAAAAUUGGCCCUUCCACCAUUUGCUGCCACAAUGGCUUCCCCUCUCGGCCUCAGACCUCUCAGCAGUGCCCCCGAGUACCACAACCUGGGAGAGGUCUUCAGCAAGGAAAAAGCCCUCUCACUGCCACCUCCAGCCUUACAACUGCACCAUUGACCUGCUCCCUGGGGCCACCCUACCAUCCCACUGGCUGUAUAACCUGUCCAGAGAGAGAGAAAUGCUCAAUCACCCUCCUGGGGUACGUCCUUGAGAGUGGACGAGUCUAGGCUGACCCUGAGAAGAUCCGGGCCAUCAUCGAGUGGCCCAGACCUACUACCCGGAAGCAGUUUCAACAAUUCUGGGGGUUUCUGAACCACCACUCAAUGAUGUACCCCAGGAGGCUGUGCUCAGCUGGGUAGCGGCACCUCUCACUAGGCUCAGCUACACUUCCACUCUCUUCGUGUGGACCCAUGAGGCAGAGGCUGCCUUCACUAAGCCCAAAGGUCUAUUCACCUCUGCCACUGUGCUGUUUCAACCCGAUCCCUCACGGCAAUUCAUCGUGGAGGUGGACUCCUUCGAAUCAGUUGUGGGUGCAGUGCUCUCUCAGCGUUCAGUUCUAGAUCAUAAACUUCACCCAUGUACCUUCUUCUCUCAUCGCCUGUCUCCUGCUGAAUCCAACUAUGAUGUGGGGAAUUGGGAGUUCUGGAGGCACUGGCUCAAGGUCUAGACCGACCACAAAAACCUGGCCUACAUCCAGACCGCCAAGCACCUCAACUCUUCCCAGGCACGCUGGGCCCUGUUCUUCGGGCAGUUCACUUUCAUCAUCAUCUACCAUCCCGGCUCCAAGAAAGCUAAGCCUGAUGCCCUCUCUUGCCAGUUUGCCCCUGACAAAGAUGCCCCGAUUCCAUCCUCCCUCCUUCCUGCUUGGUGGGGGCUGUCACGUGGGAGAUUAAGCGAAUGGUCAGGAGAGCUCAGCGCACCCAACCCGAUCCAGGGAAUGGGUCCCCUGUUCAAUUGUUUGUUCUCGACUCUGUGCAUUCCCAGGUCCUCCAGUGGGAUCACUGUUCCUGGUUGAUCUGUCACCCCAGCUCCACUCGUACUCUGGGCCUGCUGAAGUGGCACUUUUCAUGGCCGACUCUGGACGCUGACACCCAGAAGUACUAUGACCCCUGCCGGUUUCCAGCCACCCCAGGUCCUACAUUGCCUUGGACUUUGUCACCAGUCUACCCCCUCACAAGGUAGCACCACCAUCCUUACCAUCAUUGACAGUUUUUUUUAAGGCAGUACAUUUUGUGGCUCUCCCCAAGUUUCCCACAACCUGCCAAGCGCCUCAACUCUGCAGACCUCAUAGUCAGCCAUGACUGGAGUACCUGGUGGAAACCCUCCGAAGCACAGGGGGAACCUGCAAGCUCCACUCACACAGGGUGAAGGCGGGAUUCAAACUCCCAACAAACACUGGAUAUCAAAAUAGGGAAAGCAAAAACAAGAGAGAGAGAAAAUGGGGGGAAUGGUGGCACCCAGGUCCAAUCUUCUGGUCUGUAUCCCUCCCAGUCCACCAAGUACUGCAGGCCUAGUCCUCUGUGGCGGACAUCCAGCAGCCUUCUGACUGUGUGCUCCGGGUGAUUAUCCAUGACUUGAGUGGGUGGAGGGGUGUUAGAGGGAGGGCUCAGAGGGCUGGCAUAGACAGGCUUGAGUUGGGAGACAUGGAAGGUAGGGUGGAUGCGCAUGGUUCUAGAGAGCUUAAGUCUGACCAUGGAGGGAUUGAUAAUGCUCUUGAUGGUGAAAGGGCCUAGGUAAUGAGGUUUUGUCUUUAGACCUGGCUGGUAGUUAUGGUCAUUGGAGCGGGGCUGAACGUGGUCUCUCUCCAAACCUUGCAUCAUUGACGAAUGUGGGCAUGGAAGGAACUGCGAACUUGUCCUACUGGAUGGGGAGCAGGAGAGGCUCAUAACCUUAAGAACACUCGAAGGGGGACAUAAUAGCAAUUGCCUGUGACCCUAAAAUAGCCACCUACCAACAACAUAGCAACCAGCUGAGUUUUUUUAACAAUAAACUAGCUACAACCUUGCAACCUCCUAGAAAAACCACAUCAACUAAGUUGUCCACCUAGGAACAACGCAGUAAUAAGAUGAGUUUCCUUAGCAACUGACUAGCUACAACAUUGCAACAAACAGGGAUCAUUUUAAAACUGCUUCGAAACGCCAUAGCUACCACCUGGGACCCCAUAAUAGCCAGCUAGCAACACCCUAGCAACCAGUUGAUUUUCCUUAUUAACUGACUUUCUACAAAUUUUGCAGUCAACUGUGAACAUAAUGAAUUGUCAUUGAAGCCCCAUAGCAACCAUCUGGGACCCCAUCACAGCCACCUAGCAUCACCCUAGUAACCAGCUGAGUUUCAAUAGCAACUUGGUGGUGAGCUUGGAGGGGAUUAUAGUGUUAAAUGCUGAGCUGUAGUCAUCAAAGAGCAUUUUAACAUAAUUUCCCUUCCUGGUGUCCAGAUGGCUCAGGCCUGUGUGGCGAUUGGGAUGGUAUGAAAACUAUAAUGGGUCCAGGGUGUCAAGUAAUAAAGAGGUGAUGAAGUCUCUGACCAGCCUUUCAAACACUUCAUCACAACUGGCUGAGGGCUCAAGCACCCCUGACCAGCAUCCUGCUAGCCAUCGUCCAGUCUCUGAAGAACAAGCUCGACGACCUCAGGGCCAGGGUACAUAGCAUGGUGUUUCUACCAGGUUUAAAUGUAAUACUAGUUAGUUCCAAGGUUGUAGAUAGUCAGUUGCUAAGGUAACUUAGCUGGUUGCUUGGGUGUUGCUAAUUGGCUGUUAUAGUCUCCCAAGUGGUUGCUAUGGGGUUUCUAGGAGGUGUCAUUAUGAUCCCAGGUGGUUGCAAGGUUAUAGCAAGUUGGUUGCUAAGGAAACUCAUUAUUCAUUAUCAGGUGUUGCUAGGUGGCUCUCAUUGGAUCCCAUGUGGUUGCUAUGGUUUUAGCUAGUCAGUUGCUAAGGAAACUUAGAUGGCUAGUAUGGUGUCCUAGUUGGUGUGUUAUAAUGUUUCUAGAAGGUUUCAAUAUGAUCCCAGUUGGUUGCAAGGUUAUAGAUAGUCAGUUGCUAAGGAAACUAUUUCUGUGUGGCUUCAAUAUUAUCCUAGGUGGUUACAAGGUUGUAGCUAGUAGGUUGCUAAGGAAACCCUUAUGAUAGCUUAUGAGAGCUGGUUGCUAUCAUAUUGGUAGGUGGCUGCUGUGGGAUCCCAGGUGGUUGCUAUGGUGUUUCUAGGAGGUAUCAAUAUGAUCCGUUCAAUUUAGGUAUCAGUAUGAAGUUUGUAGAUAGUCUGUUGCAAAGGAAACUCAGCUUGGUUCUUGGGUGUUAUUAGGUGGCUGUUAUGGGGGUCCCAGUUGGUGUGUUAUGAUGUGUCUAGAAGGUUUUAAUAUGACCCCAUUGGUUGCUAGGUUGCAGCUAAUAUGUGGUCCCAGGUGGUUGCUGUAGUGUUUCCACAAGGUUUCAAUAUUAUCCCAGUUUGUUGCCAGUUGGUAGCUAGUUGGUUUCUAAGGAAACGGCUGUUAUGGGUUGCAAGGUGGUUGCUGUGAUGUUUCUAGAAGGUUUCAGUGUGAUCCCAGUUGGUUGCAAGGUUGUAGCUAGUCAGUUGCUCAGUCAAUUCAGCUUGUUGCUAUAGUGUUGCUAGGUGGCUGUGCUAUGUUCUCAGAUGGUUGCUAUGGUUUUUCUGGGAGGUUUCAAUAUGAUCUCAGUUGGUUGCAAGGUUGUAGCUUGUUGGUUGCUAAGGAAACUCAGAUUGUUUAUAUGGUAUUCUAGGUGGCUGUUAUCCAGUCCCAGUUCAUGUGUUAAGAUGUCUCUAGGAGCUUUCCAUAUGAUCCCAGUAGGUUGCAAGGUUGUAAGUAGUUGGUUGCUAAGGGAACUCAGCUGGUUGCUAGGGCUGUGGCUGUUAUGUGGCUGUGGCUGUUGUUUGCAGCUAUUUGAAUGCUAAGGAAACUCAGGUUGUUUCUUGGAUGUUGAAAGGUGGCUGAAAGGUUAUGGUGUACCAAGUGGUUGCUCUGGUUUUCCUUCGAGGUUUCAAUAUGAUCCCAGCUGCUUGCAAGGGUGUGUCUAUUCGGUUGCUAAGGAAACUCAGCUGUUUGCUGGUAUGUUUCUAGUUGGCUGUCAUGGGGUCCCAGAUGGUUGCUAUGGUGUUUCUAGAAGGUUUAGAUAUGAUUCCAGUUAGUUGCAAGGUUGUAACAAGGUUGUUGCUAAAGAAACUCGGCUUGUUGCCGGGGUGUUAUGGUGUACCAGGUGGUUGCUAUGGUGUUUCCUUGAGGUUUCAGUGUGAUCCCAGGUGCUUGCUAGGUCGUAGCUAUUCGGUUGCUAAGAAAACUCAGCUGGUUGAUGGUAUGUUUCUAGGUGGCUGUCAUGGGGUCCCAGAUGGUUGCUAUGAUGUUUCUAGGAGGUUUCAAUAUGAUGCCAGUUGGUUGCAAAGUUAUAGCUAGUCUGUUGCUAAGGAAACUCAGCUGGUUGGUAGGAUGUUGUUAGAUGCCUAUUACAGGCUCCCUGGCAGUUACUAUUGUUGUUUCUAGUAGGUUUCAGUAUGAUCCCAGUAGGAUGCAAGGUUGUAGCUAGUUGAUUGCUAAGCAAACUCAUCUGGUUGCUAGGGUGUUGCUACGUGGCUUUUAUGUGGUCCCAGGUUGUAAGUAUUGUGUCUCUUCGAGGUGUCAAUAUGAUCCCAGUUGGUUAAAAGGUUGUAACAACAUUGUUGCUAAGGAUACUCGGCUGGUUGCUAGGGUCCCAUUUGGAGUGUUAUGAUGUUUCUACAAGGUUUCAAUAAGAUUCCAGUUGUUUGCAAGGGUGUAGCUUGUCAUUUGCUAAGGAAUCACAGGUUUUUGCUACAGCGCUUAUGUGGUGGUUGCUAGUAUUUUUAGGGGUUUUCAAUAUCAUCUGAGUUGGUUGCAAGGUUCUAGCUUGUUGAAUUCUAAGGAAACUCAUCUGGUUGCUAGGGUGUAUUGGGUUCCGGGUGGUUACUAUGGAGUUUCUACAGAAAAGUAAGUUUGACAUGACAACCAAAAUUUUACUUUAGACAACCAAAAAUUUGGUUUCAAACGUUUUAUUUUCUGUACUGCUCUCAUUGUUUUAUAGUUGUUUUAAAGAGCAUAUUGGGUCCCAGUUGUUGAAUCAUGUUGGUUUAAAAUAAAUAUGCAAAUCUG